Molecule: ribosomal RNA, 401 nt
Filed under: uncultured bacterium
Lineage: Bacteria
Description: bacterial SSU rRNA
Rfam family: Bacterial small subunit ribosomal RNA
Source: RNAcentral
CAAGUCUUGACAUCCUCCUGGAUACAGGGUAAUGCCUGUAGGCCUUCGGGACAGGAGAGACAGGUGGUGCAUGGUUGUCGUCAGCUCGUGUCGUGAGAUGUUGGGUUAAGUCCCGCAACGAGCGCAACCCCUAUCUUUAGUAGCCAGCGAGCAGAGUCGGGCACUCUAGAGAGACUGCCGGGGAUAACCCGGAGGAAGGUGGGGAUGACGUCAAAUCAUCAUGCCCCUUAUGAUUUGGGCUACACACGUGCUACAAUGGCGUAAACAGAGGGAAGCGAACCUGCGAGGGGGAGCAAAUCCCAAAAAUAACGUCCCAGUUCGGAUUGUAGUCUGCAACCCGACUACAUGAAGCUGGAAUCGCUAGUAAUCGCGGAUCAGAAUGCCGCGGUGAAUACGUUCCC